AUUCUUUCUUCUUUUUUCUAUUUCUUUGUUUUCUUCCCCCUUCUUCUUUUCUUCUUUAUUCUUCUUCUGUGAGAUUUCGAGUGAUGAAAUUGAGAGUUUUUAGAGAGACUUUAAUGGAUGAAUUUAUUAUGAUGGAGAAGGAGGUGUUGUCUAUGGGAUUAAGAAGAAGAAGAUUUAAUAUUGCUUGGGUUUUGAGACGAAUCAGGGAGAAGUAGAGUUAGGGUUUCUGUGAGUUGAUGAAGGUUUGAUUUGAGGUAGUUGAAGAUGGGUUUCGAGAUAUUGAAUAGAAUAAGAAUAUUGUUGUGCUAAUUUGAUGAUUAAGUUUCAGAUAAGAAGAUUAAUUGUGAAUAAGAAAUUAGGGUUUGAGAGAAAUUCAUAAGAAUAAAUAGAAGAUGAGAUUGAGAGUGUAAAUGAAGGAUUAAAGAUGGGUUGGAUGGCAUUUAAGGGAUAAGGUUGUAGAACAGCAAGAAUGCGCAUUUAGGGUUUGAGGUUAUGAAAUUAGAAGUUCAAUUUGAGGUUGAUAAUGAGAUUGAGAUUGGGAAAUGAAGAAUAGAGUAGAUUCGAGAAUAAUUAAGCAUCGGGUUGUUGAUGUAGAUGUUGUUGCUAACAGAUCGGAUUGAGUAGAAGUUAGAUUGUUUUGAAUCGGUUGUAAAGUGGACGAGUCAAGGAAUUAGAGUCAACUAUGUUGUUAAGGAACCUGCACUGAGGUAAAUUUUCCUUACUAAAUUUUAGAUGUUAUAAUCAUUCUGAUUGUGUUGUUGUUUGACUACAUGAAGUAGUUAAUGUAAAGUGAUGUAUGAUGAGCAUGAACUGGAGAUGUAGAUGUAGUACAUGUUGUGCUUGUUUCAAAGAAACUGGAUACUGAGAUAUGCAUGGGUUGGUUGAAGUUCUUUGUAUGAAUGUUGUUAGGUUGCAUCAAAGAAGUUAGAUUGAGGUAUGUUGUGCAAUAAUCAAGAAUGAGAUGUUCCAGGGAGUGUGUAUGUUAUCUGAGUUAAGAAUUAGAUGAAUUGUUGUGGUUGAGUUAUGGAAAUUACAGGGUUGAGUAUAAACUGGAUAAGUUGUAUAUGAUUUGUAUCUAAUGAGUUUGGUGGUGAUGGGUAUAUGUAUGAACUGUGUAGAUGAAAUGGAUGGAGGUAUUUCUUGUAUAGCACGUUAAGUGAUAACUGAUGGUGUUGUUUCAUGGAACUGAGAUGUUGCAGGUUUAGUCUUGAUGAUAUGUUGAGUGUUGUUGCCACUGGAUUGUACUUAGGACUGUGAAGUUGCAGGUGAUAUUGAGUUGGAUUGGCAGUGUUUCCGGAAUAAGAGUUUAGCGAUUGUGUUAAGUUAAAUCUCUAAGGGAAGGCUUGCAACUACAAUGACAGGGUAAUGGAACUGAGAUGUAAGGAUGCAAGCCUGAAUUCAGUUAGUCUAUGUAACAACGAUCGAUUCAAAGGAUGAACCAGUGGAUCGUGGAUCUCGAGAUAGGCGUGGCUUGUCAUCAAAAGAGUUUCAGACACAGAUCAGAGUUGGCGCAGCGAAAGCUUCGUCAGUUGGUUAACUUCUGUUAUGUUUAUUAUGUCGUAUAUUCUGUUUGUAAACCAAAGGAUUAUUGUAUAUGUAUCAUUUGAGAGAAUUUCUUGUAUAUAUACGUUUCUGAGCGGGGCUAGUCUUGGGUUAAGUUUUUAUAGCAGAUUUCUUAAUUGAAUGCUUAAGUAUUUGUUUUAGAUUCGUGGUUCCUUUUUAUUUAGU
Papaver somniferum (opium poppy) is the source of this 1728-nucleotide long non-coding RNA. RefSeq lists it as uncharacterized. The record is from RefSeq and is a predicted model, not a curated record. Lineage: Eukaryota; Viridiplantae; Streptophyta; Magnoliopsida; Ranunculales; Papaveraceae. The transcript is spliced from 4 exons.